RNAcentral lists this ribosomal RNA (578 nucleotides) under uncultured bacterium. Its description in RNAcentral is "bacterial SSU rRNA". It matches the Rfam family "Bacterial small subunit ribosomal RNA", at positions 265 to 859 of the family's 1533-position model. The record is from RNAcentral.
CUACCAAGCCGAUGAUCCGUAGGGGGCGUGAGAGCGUGGCCCCCCACACUGGCACUGAGACACGGGCCAGACUCCUACGGGAGGCAGCAGUGAGGAAUAUUGCACAAUGGGCGCAAGCCUGAUGCAGCAACGCCGCGUGAGGGACGAAGGCCUUCGGGUUGUAAACCUCUUUUCUGAGGGACGAGGAAGGACGGUACCUCAGGAAUAAGUCUCGGCUAACUACGUGCCAGCAGCCGCGGUAAAACGUAGGAGGCGAGCGUUAUCCGGAUUUACUGGGCGUAAAGCGCGCGCAGGUGGCUUCGUGAGUCGGACAUGAAAGCUCCUGGCUUAACUGGGAGAGGCUGUUCGAUACUGCGGGGCUUGAGGUUGGGAGAGGGACGCGGAAUUCCCGGUGUAGUGGUGGAAUGCGUAGAUAUCGGGAGGAACACCAGUGGCGCAAGCGGCGUCCUGGCCCACACCUGACGCUGAGGUGCGAAAGCGUGGGUAGCAAACAGGAUUAGAUACCCUGGUAGUCCACGCUGUAAACGAUGUCAACUGGGUGUCGGUAGUUUUACACUAUCGGUGCCGAAGCUAACGCG